AUAAUGAUUUCUCCCGCCGUCCUUGGCUUUCUGCCCUCCAGUUUCUCGGUGCUGAAGAUGGUUUGAUUCCGAGCACACCUAUCAGCUCUAUCAAGAAAUGUCUCAAUGGCGACAAGGUUGUUCAGGUUGUAGCUAUUGUCAAGUCAUGCACUCCUAAU
Salvia splendens (bonfire salvia) is the source of this 158-nucleotide long non-coding RNA. RefSeq lists it as uncharacterized. The record is from RefSeq and is a predicted model, not a curated record. The transcript is spliced from 3 exons. Lineage: Eukaryota; Viridiplantae; Streptophyta; Magnoliopsida; Lamiales; Lamiaceae.